UUAGCUUAGUGUAGUUAUUCGCACGUUGGCUUUUCAAGCCAAAGGCGCUAAAACAAGUAGUUAACU
RNAcentral lists this transfer RNA (66 nucleotides) under Sinanodonta woodiana. RNAcentral's name for it is "tRNA-Glu". The record is from RNAcentral. Lineage: Eukaryota; Metazoa; Mollusca; Bivalvia; Unionida; Unionidae.